This 473-nucleotide ribosomal RNA is filed under the name uncultured bacterium. Its description in RNAcentral is "SSU rRNA". It matches the Rfam family "Bacterial small subunit ribosomal RNA", at positions 26 to 518 of the family's 1533-position model. The record is from RNAcentral.
AGGACGAACGCUGGCGGCGUGCUUAACACAUGCAAGUCGAACGGAAAGGCCCUUUCGGGGGUACUCGAGUGGCGAACGGGUGAGUAACACGUGGGUGAUCUGCCCUGCACUUCGGGAUAAGCUUGGGAAACUGGGUCUAAUACCGGAUAGGACUACGGACUUCAUGGUUUGUGGUGGAAAGCUUUUGCGGUGUGGGAUGGGCCCGCGGCCUAUCAGCUUGUUGGUGGGGUGAUGGCCUACCAAGGCGACGACGGGUAGCCGGCCUGAGAGGGUGUCCGGCCACACUGGGACUGAGACACGGCCCAGACUCCUACGGGAGGCAGCAGUGGGAACAUUGCGCAAUGGGCGAAAGCCUGACGCAGCGACGCCGCGUGGGGAUGAAGGCCUUCGGGUUGUAAACCCUUUCGGCAGGGACGAAGCGAAGUGACGGUACCUGCAGAAGAAGCGCCGGCUAACUACGUGCCAGCAGCCGC